UACAGAGGUCCCAAGCGUUGUUCGGAUUUACUGGGCGUAAAGGGUGCGUAGGUGGCGAGGUAAGUUUGAUGUGAAAUCUCCGAGCUCAACUCGGAAAUGGCAUUGAAUACUAUCCCGCUUAAGGGUCGGAGGGGAGACUGGAAUUCUCGGUGUAGCAGUGAAAUGCGUAGAUAUUGAGAGGAACACCAGUGGCGAAGGCGAGUCUCUGGACGACUCCUGACACUGAGGCACGAAAGCUGGGGGAGCAAACAGG
This 253-nucleotide ribosomal RNA is filed under the name uncultured bacterium. Its description in RNAcentral is "partial 16S ribosomal RNA". It matches the Rfam family "Bacterial small subunit ribosomal RNA", at positions 524 to 776 of the family's 1533-position model. The record is from RNAcentral.